CCGAAACCGGGCGAUCUAUCCAUGGCCAGAGUGAAGGUCAGGUAACACUGACUGGAGGCUCGAACCCAAGUAUGUUGAAAAAUGCUGGGAUGAGCUGUGGAUCGGAGUGAAAGGCUAAUCAAGCCCGGAGAUAGCUGGUUCUCCUCGAAAGCUAUUUAGGUAGCGCCUCACGUAUCACCGUCGGGGGUAGAGCACUGUUUCGGCUAGGGGGCCAUCCCGGCUUACCAACCCGAGGCAAACUCCGAAUACCGAUGAGUGCAGCGUGGGAGACACACAGCGGGUGCUAACGUCCGUUGUGAAAAGGGAAACAACCCAGACCGUCAGCUAAGGCCCCCAAAUUCUGGUUAAGUGGGAAACGAUGUGGGAAGGCUUAGACAGCUAGGAGGUUGGCUUAGAAGCAGCCAUCCUUUAAAGAAAGCGUAAUAGCUCACUAGUCGAGUCGGCCUGCGCGGAAGAUGUAACGGGGCUCAAACCAGAUGCCGAAGCUACGGACUCAUCCUCUGGAUGAGUGGUAGAGGAGCGUCGUGUAAGUCUGUGAAGGGGCGUUGAGAAGCGCGCUGGAGAUAUCACGAGUGCGAAUGCUGACAUGAGUAACGAUAAUGCGGGUGAAAACCCCGCACGCCGGAAGACCCAGGGUUUCUGUUCGACGUCAAUCGGAGCAGAGUGAGUCGGCCCCUAAGGCGAGGCCGAAAGGCGUAGUCGAUGGGAAACGGGUUAAUAUUCCCGUACCGGAUGUGAUUGCGAUGGGGGGACGAAGAAGGCUAGGUGAGCCAGGCGUUGGUUGUCCUGGUGAAAGCCGGUAGGCCGAGGGUUCAGGGAAAUCCGGAUCCUCAAGGCCGAGAGGCGAGACGAACAGACUACGGUCUGGAAGUCAUCGAUGCCACGCUUCCAGGAAAAGCCUCUAAGCUUCAGAUCACAUGCGACCGUACCCCAAACCGACACAGGUGGUCAGGGUGAGAAUCCCAAGGCGCUUGAGAGAACUCGGGUGAAGGAACUAGGCAAAAUGGCACCGUAACUUCGGGAGAAGGUGCGCCGGCAUAGGGUGACGGACUUCGCGUCCCGAGCUCGAGCCGGUCGAAGAUACCAGGUGGCUGCAACUGUUUAUUAAAAACACAGCACUCUGCUAACGCGUAAGCGGACGUAUAGGGUGUGACGCCUGCCCGGUGCCGGAAGGUUAAUUGAUGGCGUUAGCUCCGGCUAAGCGCUUGAUCGAAGCCCCGGUAAACGGCGGCCGUAACUAUAACGGUCCUAAGGUAGCGAAAUUCCUUGUCGGGUAAGUUCCGACCUGCACGAAUGGCGUAAUGAUGGCCACGCUGUCUCCACCCGAGACUCAGUGAAAUUGAAAUCGCC
The sequence is a ribosomal RNA, 1350 nucleotides long. It matches the Rfam family "Bacterial large subunit ribosomal RNA", at positions 715 to 2052 of the family's 2925-position model.